UUCCACUGGGGGAGCGUUUGCUGAGAGGUCUUAGGGAAACUUAGGAUCGACCCUUGGAACCUGUUGGGUAAUGCCUGCGUAGGGAAGUGGCUU
This 93-nucleotide non-coding RNA is filed under the name Centipeda periodontii. Lineage: Bacteria; Bacillati; Bacillota; Negativicutes; Selenomonadales; Selenomonadaceae. The record is from RNAcentral.